RNAcentral lists this unclassified non-coding RNA (3298 nucleotides) under Haliotis rufescens (red abalone). RNAcentral's name for it is "protein odr-4 homolog, transcript variant X1". The record is from RNAcentral. Lineage: Eukaryota; Metazoa; Mollusca; Gastropoda; Lepetellida; Haliotidae.
GAGUUGCCUCCCUUGGCAAAUACUUCCGGCCCAUGUUGUCAACAAAGUGCAUGAGGUUGUAGAUUUGCAUCAAGUGCUACUGACGAUCAUGGGUCGUUCUUUUCAAGCUGAUGAAGCCAUAGAGGCCUACAUAGAACAGCUAAUUAAGUCUGGACAGUGGCACAUUGGGUUGAUUGUCGGUCAGCUAACAAACAGCAAAGACUACGUUGUCCGACUGAUUCGGACCCCAGAUCCGGCAGAGGAUGAAGUCAGUGAGGAGGAAGAGGGAGAAGAAGUAGUCACAGAGAGGAAGAAGGAAGCUUGUGUCCGACCCAAAUCUCUCGACCUCACUGAUGAACAGUGGGUUUCUUCUCAUGCCACACAAGUAGACAGGAUGUUACUGGGCGGCCUGGAUGUGAUUGGGAUCUUUGCCCUGGCUCCUCCCAACAUGAUGCAGAGUGCUCAAGCCAAGCUCAGACAGGUUGUCUUUGCUGUCCACAAGGCCCUCAGUAAACUGACCGUCUGUGACCGAGACAACGCCAUCACUGACCGCUUGGUGCUACAGAUAUGCUCAGUGGCCAGAAAGGCAACCUGCAGGACGUUUGAUGUGGCAGACAUGAAGAGUACGGCCCGUCCAGCAGAAUGGCGGUACAUGAGUGGUCUUCUUGACCGCUGGUCGCAGCUGUCCACCAUUGUGUCAGUGGAUGUCACCAUCACCGUCCCCAACGACACUCGCACCACCAGCAUGCAUAAACAGAUUCAGCAAGGAAUUCAACCCUUCUGCAAAUCUAUAUACAGUGGCAUGGCGCUGUUGAAUGGUGAGCUCAGAAACAACGACGAACUACUCGACCAAUCAGAAACAAGGAAAGGGAAGUCCAAGGACAGGGGAAGUCCCGUGAGGCAGCAGUUUGCCGUGGAUCUUCUCGUCAGUAGGUCAGAUAACAACAGUGUGUCUGACCCCACAGUGCUGUCAGUCAAGGCCAUCCUUAAGGUCAGAGGUCAGAUGAUUGGAAGGUCAUUGGUCAACAAUCGUGCAACUGUAAAGGAUGCUAUUGAGGCGGUACGCAGUGACGUCGUGCGGAGCCUGGUGUCUCGGUGUGAGCUGCUGUGUGAGGACCUCGAGGUCGUGGAAGAGGAUGGAGCUAGGGAGUUGUACGAUACACCAGUCCGCGUUUUUACCACGGUGCCCAAGUCGUCACUGGCGUUCUGCGACUACAUGUUCCAAGAUGAAAGGACGCUGGAGGUGACAGAGAGGCUAAAGGAGUUGCUGGACAUCGAUGUCACAGAAGAUGACCUUGAACUUCAGUGUGAGAGACAUGCAGAGGAGGAGGACUGGUCUUCAGGAGUUGUGUCAGAGGACGGCACGGAACACGCGGGAGGUUCUGCUGGCGCCAGGAGCAGUCUUGGAGCUUAUCUAGGCAUGGCCGUGAGUGGGUUGGUGGCGGCGCUGGCGGGCGUGGCCUACAUGAUGUAUGGGGACAGCUGAUGACGGGGGUCAGGCUAGACCCACUUCUCUAUUUCUUGCUGUUUCUACAAGUUUAUGGUACUGCCGCUGUCCCUGUCUCGGUGCAUCACAAUUACACAUCCCUGGAGGUCAAACAGGACGAGGUGCUAUAGGAUAGGAACCGAUUCAUUGACUGUAUUGACAAGAAAAUAUUAGCUAUUUUAUGGCAUGGUUAAAUUUCAGCAUUAAGUUUUACAAGUUUUGAAACCUGUCAGGUUUCAAACAUCUUCCUGAGGCAAGGGAGUUAACUGACUAUAAAAGUCCAGUUUCCACCCUUGCCGAAGUACGAAUCCACUGUUUCUCAAGCACAUUUGCCUCAAAUAUGAGGGUGGUAGGACCAUUUAAUUUUUAUUGAAACCGAAAGUGAUGAGGGAGGAACACAUUUUAUUAUUUAACCCUCCCGGAAUACCAACAAACACAACUGGGCAACAUUUAUCUCAACUCUGUAACACAAUGUCAGUUGUCCAGCAUUGAUAACAGCCUGCUUUAUAUGAUACAGGAAAUUUGAAAAUUUUAAAAAAAAAUUCAAUAAUUAUGACAGAUAAUGUACAGGAUUAAAAGUGACACGCUAAUGCCCGAUAAAUGUUUUCUUUCUCUUUAUUAGACUGAUUAUUCUUUAUUAAUAUUUUAAUUGCACAUAGGUAAAACCUUCAGUAAGAAACCACCAUUUUGUCUAUGUUGGUGCUCUUAUGUAUUAACAAAUGGAUAAACACAUGGUCAUUUACACACGUCAUUAAUGACAUCAGGGUCAUCCAUUUAUCAGUUCCAUGAAGUCACAUGAUGAGGUGAUGUCGUACUUACUAGAUGUCGCAGUGUUUCCCAUUCACUGUUGCCGUGAUAGACAAUGAGAAAUGAAAUGCCAAUUAAUUGACUUUCUGUUCUGUAACUGCAUACUUUUGACAAAUUGACUUUUUGUUCACAAUUCUUGGCUGCACCAGUUUAUAUUGGGAAUAGAUUGACUUAAGAUAUGUCGUGAGGUGUCGUCAGUACUUCAAGGGAUUGUAUACAAUACAUUCCUCGUCCUGAGACUACACAUGGCCGCUAUGUGGUGUGAUACAGACCCCUAUCUAUCUAAGACAAUGAAAGGAGGCCUUGUAUAAUUCAUGAAUGUCAAAUGAGCCCUAUUCCACGCAUGAAUUUUGGGAACCCAAUUGUUGCCUGAUAUUGAAGCUAUGUGCACGUGUAGAGUUGAGGCCUCAAGGCUGAAUCAUGUUGCAUUAGAAACAUUGCCUUUAUUAUGCAGUGUACCCUGAGCUCUCAUUGGUCAGAGCUCUUGCAGGAACCAGCACUCAUUGGUCAGAGCUCUUGCUGGAACCAGGAAGUGUACUUUGAACCCUCAUUGGUCAGAGCUCUUGCUGGAACCAGCCCUCAUUGGUCAGAGCUCUUGAUGGAACCAGGUAAUGUGCUGUUAGUCCUCAUUGGUCAGAGCUCAUGCUGGAACCAGGAAGUGUCCUCUGAGCCCUCAUUGGUCAGAGCUCUUGCUCAUGUUGGUUAAAUAUAAUGACUACACAAUAAAGCAGCCAUAUGUAUUCACAAAUCAUGGUGGAAUGAUGGUACACAAGAGAUGCGCAGUGAACAGAAAAAUACAUACCAGAAGAUGUCUGUUCUGUCUGUUGGGGAAAGGUUUUAUUGUGAUUAAAGACUGUGAGGCAUUUUAGGAUAAGGAUUUGUUUGAUGAUGUGAGUGGCUUUGACUUGCCUAAGCUUUAGUGUUGGCUUGAGUCUGUUAAUCUUUUGUAUGAAUGAUAUUGUACAUAAUCUAUAUGUAUAAAACAAAAGUGUUUGCUUGGAUGUACAAAUAAAUAUUGACACAGUU